Molecule: ribosomal RNA, 411 nt
Filed under: uncultured bacterium
Lineage: Bacteria
Description: bacterial SSU rRNA
Rfam family: Bacterial small subunit ribosomal RNA
Source: RNAcentral
GUGCCAGCAGCCGCGGUAAUACAGAGACUGCGAGCGUUAUUCGGAUUCACUGGGCGUAAAGCGCGCGCAGGCGGCGAUCUACGUCCGGGGUGAAAGCCCAGAGCUCAACUCUGGGACUGCCUUGGAUACGGGAUCGCUUGAGGAUCGGAGAGGCAAGGGGAAUUCCACGUGUAGCGGUGAAAUGCGUAGAGAUGUGGAGGAACACCUGUGGCGAAGGCGCCUUGCUGGCCGAUUUCUGACGCUGAGGCGCGAAAGCGUGGGGAGCAAACAGGAUUAGAUACCCUGGUAGUCCACGCCGUAAACGAUGAGUGCUAGGUGUUGGGGGGUACCACCCUCAGUGCCGAAGCUAACGCAUUAAGCACUCCGCCUGGGGAGUACGGGCGCAAGACUGAAACUCAAAGGAAUUGACGG